CCUACGGGUGACAGCAGUAGGGAAUCUUUCACAAUGGGCGAAAGCCUGAUGGAGCAACGCCGCGUGCAGGAUGAAGGCCUUCGGGUUGUAAACUGCUUUUCUAAGCGAGAAAUAUGAUGGUAACUUAUGAAUAAGGAUCGGCUAACUACGUGCCAGCAGCCGCGGUCAUACGUAGGAUCCGAGCAUUAUCCGGAGUGACUGGGUGUAAAGAGUUGCGUAGGUGGCAUAAUAAGUAGCUAGUGAAAUCUGGUGGCUCAACCAUUCAGACUAUUAGCUAAACUGUUAAGCUCGAGACCGUUAGGGGUAACUGGAAUUUCUAGUGUAGGAGUGAAAUCCGUAGAUAUUAGAAGGAACACCAAUAGCGUAGGCAGGUUGCUGGGACGGUUCUGACACUAAGGCACGAAAGCGUAGGGAGCAAACGGGAUUAGAUACCCGAGUAGUC
RNAcentral lists this ribosomal RNA (442 nucleotides) under uncultured bacterium. Its description in RNAcentral is "partial 16S ribosomal RNA". It matches the Rfam family "Bacterial small subunit ribosomal RNA", at positions 338 to 795 of the family's 1533-position model. The record is from RNAcentral.